CCCUGUUCAUGGGGUGCCUCAUGAUGAUGU
Molecule: non-coding RNA, 30 nt
Filed under: Rattus norvegicus (Norway rat)
Lineage: Eukaryota; Metazoa; Chordata; Mammalia; Rodentia; Muridae
Source: RNAcentral